RNAcentral lists this ribosomal RNA (371 nucleotides) under uncultured bacterium. RNAcentral's name for it is "bacterial SSU rRNA". It matches the Rfam family "Bacterial small subunit ribosomal RNA", at positions 30 to 404 of the family's 1533-position model. The record is from RNAcentral.
AUUGAACGCUGGCGGCAUGCUUUACACAUGCAAGUCGAACGGGGUGAGGGGGCAACCUCUCAUCUAGUGGCGAACGGGUGAGUAAUGCAUCGGAACGUGUCCCGUAGUGGGGGAUAACCCGGCGAAAGCCGGACUAAUACCGCAUAUGCUCUACGGAGGAAAGUGGGGGACCGCAAUGGCCUCACGCUAUGGGAGCGGCCGAUGUCCGAUUAGCUUGUUGGUGAGGUAAGGCUCACCAAGGCGACGAUCGGUAGCUGGUCUGAGAGGAUGAUCAGCCACACUGGGACUGAGACACGGCCCAGACUCCUACGGAGGCAGCAGUGGGGAAUUUUGGACAAUGGGGGCAACCCUGAUCCAGCCAUGCCGCGUGC